UCGAGUUUAAAGCUCUCCAAACCCAUGUGAACAUACCUAACUGUUGCCUCGGGGGGGGUCCUACCCGGGACGCCCUACCCUGGCAGCCCCUACCCGGGAGUGGCCGCCGGUGGAUUACCAAACUCUAUUUUACGAGUUUCAUCUCUGAGAUGAAAAGCAAAUAAUCA
Molecule: unclassified non-coding RNA, 167 nt
Filed under: soil metagenome
Description: partial internal transcribed spacer 1
Source: RNAcentral